This 1141-nucleotide long non-coding RNA is filed under the name Ursus maritimus (polar bear). RNAcentral describes it as "lncRNA (ENSUMAG00000009924.1)". The record is from RNAcentral. Lineage: Eukaryota; Metazoa; Chordata; Mammalia; Carnivora; Ursidae.
GAUUUGGCCUGCGGGGUUCCUGGGCCCCAACCCUAACCCUAGUUCAUCUGUGGAGGGGCCCCUCCCCAGGAGCCUGGAGCCGCAGCCGCGGGGAUUCGGGACACCUGAGCCCCACCGCAGGACUCAGUCUGCGAGCAUGCAGGAGACCGUGCCCCUUGGGAGGCUGUAGAGCAUUCAGGGCGGGAGAACCAGGAGGGCCCCCAGAGCCCCCAGCGAACUUCGGCGAUCCCUAAACCCAACCUUGAAGCUAAUGCUCACCCCACCCCGCACCCUCACUUCAGCCUGCAGCGGAGCUUGCCACAUAGUGGGCAGAUCUGGCCUGCGAGGCUCCUGGGCCCCAACCCUAAUCCUAGUUCAUCUGUGGAGGGGCCCCUCCCCAGGAGCCUGGAGCCGCAGACGCGGGGAUUCGGGACACCUGAGCCCCACAGCAGGACUAAGUCUGCCACACCGCAGGAAACUGUGCGCCUUGGAGGCCAUAGAGCAUUCAGGGCGGGAGAACCAGGAGGGCCCUCCUGAGCCACCAGCGAACUUCGGCGGCCUCCCGCACCCCAACCCUGAGGCCCACGCUCACCCUCCCCACACCCUCACCUCAGCCCGUGUAGCUCGCCAUACAGCCAGCAGAUCGGGCCUGCGGGGCUCCUGGGGCCUAACCCUAGCCCUAGGUCAGCCGGGGGUGUGGGGGCCUCCCCAGGAGGCUUACACGGCAGCCCAGGGGAAUUGGGAUACCUGCGCCCCACCGCAGGACUCAGCUUGCCACCCGACAGGAAACCGUGCCCCUUGGGGCUCUACGGAGCGUACAGGGCACGAGAACUUGGGGAGGCCCCCGGAGCCCAUCCCCACCUUUGGCAGCCCCCUGUGCCCCAACCCUGAGGCCCAUGCUCACCCUCCCCCAUGGCCUCCUCUCAGCCCUCCACAGAGCUCGCCACACAGCCUGCAGAUUGUCCCUCCCAGGCUCCUGAACCCUAACCCUUACCCUAGGUUGGCCACAGAGGGGUCCCACCCCAGGGUCCUGGCACCCCACUCCGGGGGAUUGGGGACACCCAAGCCCCAACAUAGGACUCAGCCUGCAGCCCACAGUAAACUGCACCAUUUUGGGGAACAACAGAGCAUUCAGGGCAAGAGAAUUGGGGCAACCCCUGAG